UUAAUGCUCCCUCCGUCCGGAAAUACUUGUCAUCAAAAUGAAUAAAAGGGGAUGUAUCUAGAUGUAUUUUAGUUCUAGAUACAUCCCCUUUUGUCCAUUUUGAUGACAAGUAUUUUCGGACGGCGGGAGUACUUA
Triticum aestivum (bread wheat) is the source of this 135-nucleotide non-coding RNA. Lineage: Eukaryota; Viridiplantae; Streptophyta; Magnoliopsida; Poales; Poaceae. The record is from Rfam.